Molecule: ribosomal RNA, 485 nt
Filed under: uncultured bacterium
Lineage: Bacteria
Description: bacterial SSU rRNA
Rfam family: Bacterial small subunit ribosomal RNA
Source: RNAcentral
GAUGAACGCUAGCGGCAGGCUUAACACAUGCAAGUCGAGGGGCAACACGGGUAGCAAUACCUGGUGGCGACCGGCGCAAGGGUGCGUAACGCGUGAGCAACAUGCCCUAUACAGGGGGAUAAUCCAGGGAAACUUGGUCUAAUAUCCCAUAGUAUUUAGAGGUGGCAUCACCACUAAAUUAAAGCUUCGGUGGUAUAGGAUUGGCUCGCGUGACAUUAGCUGGAUGGUGGGGUAACGGCUCACCAUGGCGAUGAUGUCUAGGGGUUCUGAGAGGAAGACCCCCCACACUGGGACUGAGACACGGCCCAGACUCCUACGGGAGGCAGCAGUGAGGAAUAUUGGACAAUGGAUGGAAAUCUGAUCCAGCCAUGCCGCGUGCAGGAAGACGGCCCUAUGGGUUGUAAACUGCUUUUAUAUGGGAGCAAUAAGGUUUACGCGUAGACCGAUGAGAGUACCAUAUGAAUAAGCAUCGGCUAACUCCGUCG